This 255-nucleotide small RNA is filed under the name Cellulomonas timonensis. RNAcentral's name for it is "5' ureB small RNA". Lineage: Bacteria; Bacillati; Actinomycetota; Actinomycetes; Micrococcales; Cellulomonadaceae. The record is from RNAcentral.
GGACGGGGAGAUGAGGUGGACGUGGGCGUCGAACCCUCCCGCCGUGAGGAUCUUGCCCUCGCCGCUGAUGAUGUCGGUGGACGGCCCGAUGCGCAGCGCGGGGUGCACCCCGUCGGCCACAUCGGGGUUGCCGGCCUUGCCGAGGGCGACGAUCCGCCCGUCGCGAAUGCCGACGUCCGCGCGCACGACACCCCACCAGUCGAGGACGACGACGUUGGUGAUCACCGUGUCGGGCGCGCCCUCGGCGCGGGUCGU